GCGGCGGUGGCGGAACGGCAGACGCGCUAGGUUCAGGACCUAGUGGGGGCAACCCCGUGGAGGUUCAAAUCCUCUUCGCCGCACCA
Molecule: transfer RNA, 86 nt
Filed under: Chloroflexota bacterium
Lineage: Bacteria; Bacillati; Chloroflexota
Also listed under: 2 other names
Description: Chloroflexi bacterium tRNA-Leu
Rfam family: tRNA
About the family: Transfer RNA (tRNA) molecules are approximately 80 nucleotides in length. Their secondary structure includes four short double-helical elements and three loops (D, anti-codon, and T loops).
Source: RNAcentral